This 447-nucleotide ribosomal RNA is filed under the name uncultured bacterium. RNAcentral describes it as "partial 16S ribosomal RNA". It matches the Rfam family "Bacterial small subunit ribosomal RNA", at positions 330 to 793 of the family's 1533-position model. The record is from RNAcentral.
GCCAGACUCCUACGGGAGGCAGCAGUGGGGGAUAUUGCACAAUGGGGGGAACCCUGAUGCAGCGACGCCGCGUGGGUGAAGAAGCGCCUCGGCGCGUAAAGCCCUGUCAGCAGGGAAGAAGGAGGACGGUACCUGACUAAGAAGCCCCGGCUAACUACGUGCCAGCAGCCGCGGUAAUACGUAGGGGGCAAGCGUUAUCCGGAAUUACUGGGUGUAAAGGGAGCGUAGGCGGGAUAUUAAGUUGAAUGUAUAAACUACCGGCUUAACCGAUAGAAGCGUUCAAAACUGAUAUUCUUGAGUGAAGUAGAGGCAGGCGGAAUUCCUAGUGUAGCGGUGAAAUGCGUAGAUAUUAGGAGGAACACCAGUGGCGAAGGCGGCCUGCUGGGCUUUAACUGACGCUGAGGCUCGAAAGCGUGGGUAGCAAACAGGAUUAGAUACCCCUGUAAA